GAUGAACGCUGGCGGCGUGCCUAAUACAUGCAAGUCGAGCGAACAGACGAGGAGCUUGCUCCUCUGAUGUUAGCGGCGGACGGGUGAGUAACACGUGGAUAACCUACCUAUAAGACUGGGAUAACUUCGGGAAACCGGAGCUAACACCGGAUAACAUGUUGAACCGCAUGGUUCAACAGUGAAAGACGGUCUUGCUGUCACUUAUAGAUGGAUCCGCGCCGCAUUAGCUAGUUGGUAAGGUAACGGCUUACCAAGGCAACGAUGCGUAGCCGACCUGAGAGGGUGAUCGGCCACACUGGAACUGAGACACGGUCCAGACUCCUACGGGAGGCAGCAGUAGGGAAUCUUCCGCAAAGGGCGAAAGCCUGACGGAGCAACGCCGCGUGAGUGAAGAAGGUCUUCGGAUCGUAAAACUCUGUUAUUAGGGAAGAACAAAUGUGUAAGUAACUAUGCACGUCUUGACGGUACCUAAUCAGAAAGCCACGGCUAACUACGUG
RNAcentral lists this ribosomal RNA (497 nucleotides) under uncultured bacterium. Its description in RNAcentral is "partial 16S ribosomal RNA". It matches the Rfam family "Bacterial small subunit ribosomal RNA", at positions 28 to 507 of the family's 1533-position model. The record is from RNAcentral.